GCCAGGUGCGGUGGCGCAUGCCUGUAGUCCCAGCUCCUCGGGAGGAUGAGACAGGAGGAUCGCUUGAGUCCAGGAGUUCUGGGCUGUAGUAUACUAUGCCAAUCGGGUUCCCACACUAAGUUCGGCAUCAAUAUGAUGACCUGGGAGCGGGGGACCACCAGGUUGCCUAAGGAGGAGUGAGCUGGCCCAGGUUGGAAAUGGAGCAGGUCAAAACUCCAGUGCUGAUCAGGAAAGGAAAAAGUAUUUACAACCUUAUAGAUAGAGACUAUUCAAAAGGGGCCACUUCU
This is an unclassified non-coding RNA of Cricetulus griseus (Chinese hamster), 287 nucleotides long. It matches the Rfam family "Metazoan signal recognition particle RNA". Rfam says of the family: The signal recognition particle (SRP) is a universally conserved ribonucleoprotein. NCBI's taxonomy places the organism in Eukaryota, Metazoa, Chordata, Mammalia, Rodentia, Cricetidae. The record is from Ensembl.